UACAGAGGUCCCAAGCGUUGUUCGGAUUCACUGGGCGUAAAGGGUGCGUAGGCGGUCGGGUAAGUCUGAUGUGAAAUCUCACAGCUUAACUGUGUAAACUGCAUUGGAUACUAUCCGGCUCGAGGAAUGGGAGGGGAGACUGGAAUACUUGGUGUAGCAGUGAAAUGCGUAGAUAUCAAGUGGAACACCAGUGGCGAAGGCGAGUCUCUGGACAUUUCCUGACGCUGAGGCACGAAAGCCAGGGGAGCAAACGGG
This 255-nucleotide ribosomal RNA is filed under the name uncultured bacterium. Its description in RNAcentral is "partial 16S ribosomal RNA". It matches the Rfam family "Bacterial small subunit ribosomal RNA", at positions 524 to 776 of the family's 1533-position model. The record is from RNAcentral.